GAAAAACCUAAGCAGAUCCUCUAGGUUCACCUGCUUAAUCGUCCUAAAAAGCGCCAACUUUGGAGAUCACACGGUGGGCAGCACAGUAUUGGUCUCCCACCUCUGAUGUGUGGGCUACGGUGUGGAUGGUUAACUCUUUAGGGACCUGAAGGCCACUUUGCUAUAAAUGGGGGCUCUCACUUGGGCCUGCAGAUGUCCAUGGGUGACGGGAUGGCUGGAAAGGUGUGGCCUCUCUGUCUUCAUGUUGUGCUGUGUCCUUUGCUGCCUUAACCUCUGGGUUAGAUUCUACUCAGCUCUGUGUGUAGACAUGUUGGUCAUCUGAGGGACGUUUUGUCCAGAGUUCAGGGUGAACUUGACCUCUUGCCUAGCCUCUCUCCUCCCUCUUCAAAGGCUGAAGACAGCUACCCGUGGCCACGGCCAGAAAUACCAGGACACAAAAGGAAUGAUAAGAGGUGGCAUUGGUGUUCCUGAAAGGUCUCUGCCUGUUCCCAGAGAGGCAGGAACUCCCCUCCUUGGUGAGCCAGCCUGUGCCCUCCCUCACUAUUCCUGUCCUGCCUCUGCAGCCCUCCAGAGCUCCUCCCCCUGCUAAGCCUCCUCCCAGCCUGCUGUGCUUGUCCGUUGGGACACUUCAUCUGGACACUGUCCCUGGACUUUGGCGUUCCUGUGGGAUGAGCUUCUGAACCUGAUUCCCAGGAGGGAGACAAGCGCAAGAGCAACACCCCUCAGAUCCUGCAGGGGUGUCCCUUUCCCACCUCCCUGCCUGGUCCCUGCUGUGUCAAGGCUUUGGGUAGGACUGUCGGCUUGGCCUUGAGAGGCUAUGAGCACGCGGGUGGCCUGGGCCCCUGAACUGUGGAGUAAAGCGAGACCUGAGGGAACCCAAGGAGACCUAGGAGGAAGAGGCCUUGACGAGAGGCCCCGAGAACACUUAGGCUGCUGGAGCCCUUGGGCAGAAAUGCUGGGAUGGAAGUCAAAGUUCAAAUGUGUUUUCUCAUAUGUGGACAGGAGAGAGAGAGAGAGAGAGAGAGAGAGAGAAAGGGGGGAAGGGAAGUAUCUCACAAAAAUAGAAGGGAAAACAGUAGAGGAAGGGAAUUGAGAGGGAGGGAGGAGGGAGGGAAGUACGGGGAAUGGUCUACCACGUUAUGCUGUGUGCAUGUAGGAACACAGCACGAUGAGUCAUAUAUAUUUAUAUAGUGAUAAUGCACUAAUUAAAACAAUAAUAAUAAUAAUAAUAAUAAUAUUAGAAGGGAGAUAUUAGAGAGGAUCGGAGCAAGUGCACCGCAGGAGGGAGGAGGAAAGGAAAGGGAGGUAAAAUUCUGUUCUGUGCAUGUACGAGCUUGACACGAGGAAUCCCACUAUUAUGUGUAAUUAUCAGGCACCAAUAAAAAUCCAUAUCACUAAUAAAAAUAUAUAAAAUGAGGAGCAUUAACAGAUGAUCAAGGUAUGAUAAAGUUAUUGACUGAAUCAAAGGAGAUCAGAUGACUGUAAGGCACUUAACUGGUGUUGUGGCCAUAGAAACCCCUCACUCAACGUUCACUCUUACGACCCUAUGACCACAGUCACCCUGGCCACUGGUCUGGGUGGGAGGAUGCAAACAUGUAACACAGGGGCCUCCUGGAGUCCUGGAGGGGCGGGGAGUUGCAGUGAGUACCAAUUAGCAAUUCUAGAUUUUUCUCCUUGUUCUGUUCCAUAAGAUUGGAGACUUUUUAGUUCACAUCUGUUUUAGGAACAGAUUAACUUGCUGAAGAAAGUGUCUCAUGCAUCCUUCUCUCUUUUUAAAGAUCUUUGUUUUCUGUUCAAGUGUCUCUCUUUUCCGCCAGAGUGAGCUGUUGGCCACAUCAGGAAUCAAGGCUUCCAAAACCACAGGCAGCCUGCGCUGGGUCCUGCUGGGGGAAGCCGUGGUCUUGCUGGCCAGCAGGGCCCUGUCCAUCUGUAGUUGACUACAGACACCACCAGCAGUAAACUAACGCUACAGAAUGACAAAGACUGAAGUUCCUUAGAGGAAUGGAGGCUGGCCUCCUGCAGGUACCUAAUCCACUAUGAAGCUCUAUCUGUUCUGACUCCUAAGUAGCUCUGGAUUCCUCCCUGUCCCAGGCUUAUCCUCUCCUUCUCCUGUUCCUGUUUCUCCUCCUCAUUGACCAUUUUGUCUCUCCCUGACCUGUUCCUUUCUGAAUAAUUCUCACCUUUGGUUUACCUUGAUUCCAGGAUCACAGGAUAGACAAGUAUCUACGCUGGGAUGGAAACUUGGAAAUUGAAACUACCUCUCAGGCAGCAGCGGUUCCCCUGCUGACGAGACCUUGCAGGACCAGUGCCAGGGUCAUGAUCAACCAGACCCGACCUGACCAAGAUGGCCAGCUCUGCAAAUCCCCUCAGCUCUUGCCUUACCCCAAAGCUGUUGCCGACACCCCAAAGACAGCACUCAGACCUGUCUUCCCCAUGGGGCAGUGCUGAGAAUAAACCCUUUUCUGCUUUACUGUU
This 2475-nucleotide long non-coding RNA is filed under the name Marmota monax (woodchuck). The record is from RNAcentral. Lineage: Eukaryota; Metazoa; Chordata; Mammalia; Rodentia; Sciuridae.